This 279-nucleotide ribosomal RNA is filed under the name uncultured bacterium. RNAcentral describes it as "partial 16S ribosomal RNA". It matches the Rfam family "Bacterial small subunit ribosomal RNA", at positions 506 to 784 of the family's 1533-position model. The record is from RNAcentral.
UGCCAGCAGCCGCGGUAAUACGGAGGGGGUUAGCGUUGUUCGGAAUUACUGGGCGUAAAGCGCACGUAGGCGGACUGUUAAGUUAGAGGUGAAAUCCCGGGGCUCAACCCCGGAACUGCCUUUAAUACUGGCAGUCUAGAGUUCGAGAGAGGUGAGUGGAAUUCCGAGUGUAGAGGUGAAAUUCGUAGAUAUUCGGAGGAACACCAGAGGCGAAGGCGGCUCACUGGACAGAUACUGACGCUGAGGCACGAAAGUGUGGGGAGCAAACAGGAUUAGAUA